This 138-nucleotide small nucleolar RNA is filed under the name Ornithorhynchus anatinus (platypus). The record is from RNAcentral. Lineage: Eukaryota; Metazoa; Chordata; Mammalia; Monotremata; Ornithorhynchidae.
CCCCUCUCAGGAUUGCACCUGGAGAGUUUACAGUACGCUACCAGCCUCAGCUACGGGAGGGAGAGUCAAACAGAGGCCUACCUAUUCCAUUCCUAGCUUGGGCAGUGGCUAGAGAGUGGAAGGUGAUCUCCUACAAGC